UGGGGAAUAUUGCACAAUGGGCGCAAGCCUGAUGCAGCCAUGCCGCGUGUGUGAAGAAGGCCUUCGGGUUGUAAAGCACUUUCAGUCAGGAGGAAAGGUUAGUAGUUAAUACCUGCUAGCUGUGACGUUACUGACAGAAGAAGCACCGGCUAACUCCGUGCCAGCAGCCGCGGUAAUACGGAGGGUGCGAGCGUUAAUCGGAAUUACUGGGCGUAAAGCGUACGCAGGCGGUUUGUUAAGCGAGAUGUGAAAGCCCCGGGCUCAACCUGGGAACUGCAUUUCGAACUGGCAAACUAGAGUGUGAUAGAGGGUGGUAGAAUUUCAGGUGUAGCGGUGAAAUGCGUAGAGAUCUGAAGGAAUACCGAUGGCGAAGGCAGCCACCUGGGUCAACACUGACGCUCAUGUACGAAAGCGUGGGGAGCAAACAGGAUUAGAUACCCUGGUAGUCCACGCCGUAAACGAUGUCUACUAGAAGCUCGGAACCUCGGUUCUGUUUUCAAAGCUAACGC
Molecule: ribosomal RNA, 509 nt
Filed under: uncultured bacterium
Lineage: Bacteria
Description: bacterial SSU rRNA
Rfam family: Bacterial small subunit ribosomal RNA
Source: RNAcentral